GGAAAAAGAACAUCAGCACCACCUCAUACAGAUCGUCAAGAUGUCAUCGUUGCACAAACACAGGGAAGGAAACAUUGGAGGGUAUACUCGCCACCUGAUCCUACAUUAAGGCCA
RNAcentral lists this non-coding RNA (114 nucleotides) under Ditylum brightwellii. The record is from RNAcentral. Lineage: Eukaryota; Bacillariophyta; Thalassiosirophyceae; Lithodesmiales; Lithodesmiaceae.